This 465-nucleotide ribosomal RNA is filed under the name uncultured bacterium. RNAcentral's name for it is "partial 16S ribosomal RNA". It matches the Rfam family "Bacterial small subunit ribosomal RNA", at positions 28 to 507 of the family's 1533-position model. The record is from RNAcentral.
GACGAACGCUGGCGGCGUGCUUAACACAUGCAAGUCGAACGGAAAGGCCACUUUGGGGGUACUCGAGUGGUGAACGGGUGCGUAACACGUGAGUAACCUGCCCUUGACUUCGGGAUAACUUCAGGUAACUGGGGCUAAUACCGGAUAGGAAUAAUUGUUGCAUGGUGGGGGUUGGAAAGCUUCGGCGGGUCUGGAUGGACUCGCGGCAUAUCAGCUUGCUGGUGGGGUAGUGGCUUACCGAGGCUUCGAAGGGUAGCGGGACUGAGUGGGCGACCGGCCACAUUGAGUCUGAGAUACGGCCGAGACACCUACGGGAGGGAGCAGUGGGGAAGAUUGCAGAAUGGGCGGAGGCCUGAUGCAGCAACGCCGCGGGCGGGAUGACGGCGUUCGGGUUGUAAACCGCUUUCAGCAGGGGCGGAGCUUAUGGUGACGGUACCUGCAGAAGAAGCACCGGCUAACUACGUG